UGCUUUUAAAAAACUGACAUGUGAAAGCAUUUCAAACAGUCAUUUGUUACAUUGUUGUCACAUGACUGACUUACACUAUCAUAUCAGAUAUAAAUUUUGUUUAGAAAUGUCUUGACUGACUCAUUUACAUAAUAUCAAUUAAUAGUCAUGUGACUGUGAUGUGUCCCUCCCUCCAGCUCCUAUUGGCUCAGUAGAAGUGUCAAUCAUCUGCUCCUCCAGUGGGGUGAUGAGGGUGUUCUGCUCCUCUGAGGGGGAUCAUCUUCUCUACAGCUGGACUCUGAAUGGAGAUCCACUGAUGGAUGGAAACAGCAGCAUUGAUCUGGAUGAGGGAAGAGAUGGAGACAUCAGCUGCAGUGUGAAGAACCACGUCAGUCACGCACAGAAGACCAUUAGACUCAAACCCUGUCCUGGGCCAAAGACUGCAGCUGUGACUUCUAGUUUGACCUCUAGUGUGACCUCUAGUGUGACCUCUAAUGUGACCUCUGCAGUAACCAAUAGCUCACAGGCAUCAGAAAAUGUUUUGCUCUAUAUGAUUGCUUUUGGCUGCGUUGCUCUGAUCCCAAUUCUGCUGUUCAUCAUCAUAUGUUACGUUUACAAGAAAAAACAUCUGAAGUCAACACCAGCCGCUGCUGGAGAUACGGAGCUCAUAUACGCUAAUAUACCUAAGAGAAAGGAUGAAAAGAAGACAACAGGUAAGAAACUCAAUAAAGCUCAGUGAUCUACUUUAGGCUACUCUGUAAAACAACACAAGACUCUGUCAGCUUGUGGUUCAUUUCUCUCAGUCAUUGAAUUAGUCAUGUCACUGCCAAGAUCUCAAGGUCAUUCAGUCACUAUUACUAAUUGGAAACAAAAAACAUCUAGAUAAUUUUACGUUGCGAAUUUUUACGUGUUGUUGCUCUUUCAUGACUAAAAGAAAAGAUUAUGUAACAACUAGAUUUCUGUCUUUUAAAAUCAUUUAGUUUAAAAAGUUUGAAAGCUGUUUUAUAGAUUAAGAUAAUGUUUGAAACACUAAGACAGUAAGUGUCUGGUAAAGACUUGCAGGGUUGACUAGUCAAGCUCAACUAUUCAAUGCUAGUGUCACGGAGACGAACCCCGUGAUUCCCUCUGCUGGCCAGCAGAGGGCACCCUCACCUGAAUACUGACACACACGCAUCCACCCACUCAUUUACACUGAUUACACUACAUUACCUUUUAGCCCCGUCCUUGGACUCUGAUCACCGUCACAGCUGCAACCCAUCAGGACUGGUGCUUAUAAGCUGGACUAUCACAUGAGUUCAAUGCGAAGUCUUGAUUUGCUGUGUCUGUCAUUUCUGAGCGUGAUUACCCGGUUUUGUUUUCCUGUUGCUGAUCUUGUCUGUUCUCGUCUACGUACCUCCGCUGCCUACCUACCGACCCUUGCUUGUUUACCGGACAUUGAUUCUCUGCCUGUGACCCUGACAUUCUGCCUGUCCCCUCUUUACAUCUCUGCUCUUCCUGCGUGGUUAAAACUGCUGUUACUGACCAUUGCCUGUAUGACUACGAGUUUCUUAAUAAAGCCUGCACAUGGAUCCCA
Long non-coding RNA from Cyprinus carpio (common carp), 1552 nucleotides. Lineage: Eukaryota; Metazoa; Chordata; Actinopteri; Cypriniformes; Cyprinidae. The record is from Ensembl.